AUGAACGCUGGCGGCGUGCCUAAUACAUGCAAGUCGAGCGAACAGACGAGGAGCUUGCUCCUCUGACGUUAGCGGCGGACGGGUGAGUAACACGUGGAUAACCUACCUAUAAGACUGGGAUAACUUCGGGAAACCGGAGCUAAUACCGGAUAAUAUAUUGAACCGCAUGGUUCAAUAGUGAAAGACGGUUUUGCUGUCACUUAUAGAUGGAUCCGCGCCGCAUUAGCUAGUUGGUAAGGUAACGGCUUACCAAGGCAACGAUGCGUAGCCGACCUGAGAGGGUGAUCGGCCACACUGGAACUGAGACACGGUCCAGACUCCUACGGGAGGCAGCAGUAGGGAAUCUUCCGCAAUGGGCGAAAGCCUGACGGAGCAACGCCGCGUGAGUGAUGAAGGUCUUCGGAUCGUAAAACUCUGUUAUUUGGGAAGAACAAAUGUGUAAGUAACUAUGCACGUCUUGACGGUACCUAAUCAGAAAGCCACGGCUAACUACGUG
Molecule: ribosomal RNA, 496 nt
Filed under: uncultured bacterium
Lineage: Bacteria
Description: partial 16S ribosomal RNA
Rfam family: Bacterial small subunit ribosomal RNA
Source: RNAcentral